This 471-nucleotide ribosomal RNA is filed under the name Salmonella enterica. RNAcentral's name for it is "bacterial SSU rRNA". It matches the Rfam family "Bacterial small subunit ribosomal RNA", at positions 1 to 468 of the family's 1533-position model. The record is from RNAcentral. Lineage: Bacteria; Pseudomonadati; Pseudomonadota; Gammaproteobacteria; Enterobacterales; Enterobacteriaceae.
AAAUUGAAGAGUUUGAUCAUGGCUCAGAUUGAACGCUGGCGGCAGGCCUAACACAUGCAAGUCGAACGGUAACAGGAAGCAGUUUGCUGCUUUGCUGACGAGUGGCGGACGGGUGAGUAAUGUCUGGGAAACUGCCUGAUGGAGGGGGAUAACUACUGGAAACGGUGGCUAAUACCGCAUAACGUCGCAAGACCAAAGAGGGGGACCUUCGGGCCUCUUGCCAUCAGAUGUGCCCAGAUGGGAUUAGCUUGUUGGUGAGGUAACGGCUCACCAAGGCGACGAUCCCUAGCUGGUCUGAGAGGAUGACCAGCCACACUGGAACUGAGACACGGUCCAGACUCCUACGGGAGGCAGCAGUGGGGAAUAUUGCACAAUGGGCGCAAGCCUGAUGCAGCCAUGCCGCGUGUAUGAAGAAGGCCUUCGGGUUGUAAAGUACUUUCAGCGGGGAGGAAGGUGUUGUGGUUAAUAACC